UUGAAACAUGGAUUCCCAUAUGAUCACCGAAGAUAAGCAACAUUGAGCUUCGUUAGUACUUAGAUGGGUGACCACUUGGGAAUACCAGGUGCA
Molecule: non-coding RNA, 93 nt
Organism: Acanthosepion pharaonis
Lineage: Eukaryota; Metazoa; Mollusca; Cephalopoda; Sepiida; Sepiidae
Source: the annotation of a GenBank genome assembly